This 26-nucleotide unclassified non-coding RNA is filed under the name Aromatoleum aromaticum EbN1. RNAcentral's name for it is "crRNA from Aromatoleum aromaticum EbN1 (PDB 6H9H, chain D)". Lineage: Bacteria; Pseudomonadati; Pseudomonadota; Betaproteobacteria; Rhodocyclales; Rhodocyclaceae. The record is from RNAcentral.
CUCGGUGUUCCCCGCGCAUCGCGGGG